RNAcentral lists this ribosomal RNA (322 nucleotides) under Scutigerella sp. GG-1997b. RNAcentral describes it as "eukaryotic LSU rRNA". It matches the Rfam family "Eukaryotic large subunit ribosomal RNA", at positions 666 to 946 of the family's 3401-position model. RNAcentral also lists the same sequence under 1 other name. Lineage: Eukaryota; Metazoa; Arthropoda; Symphyla; Scutigerellidae. The record is from RNAcentral.
CCAAGGAGUCUAACCUGUACGCGAGUCGUGGGGCCUGGUCGCCAAGCCACACCACGGCGCAGUGAAAGCGAGAGGAGUGUGCCCACUCCGCAGCGGGCGUGAUCGCGGUGGAGUAACUCCCGCCGCGCGCAACGCCGACCCGUGCACGCCGCUUCGUCGGCGGCACGGAGUCCGAGCGUACACGUUGGGACCCGAAAGAUGGUGAUCUAUGCCAGGGCAGGGCGAAGCCAGAGGAAACUCUGGUGGAAGCCCGCCGCGAUUCUGACGUGCAAAUCGAUCGUCGGACCUUGGCAUAGGGGCGAAAGACUAAUCGAACCAUCUA